GAUGAACGCUGGCGGCGUGCCUAAUACAUGCAAGUCGAGCGAACAGACGAGGAUCUUGCUCCUUCCACGUUAGCGGCGGACGUGUGAAUAACACGUAUGUACCCUACCUAUAAUACUGGUAUAACUACGGGAAACCGGAUCUUACACCAUAUAAGAUUUUGAACCGCAUGGUUCGAUAGUGAAAGAUGGCUUUUCUCUCUCUACUAGAUGGUUCUCCGCCGUAUUGGCUAGUUGGUAAGUUAACGGCUUACCAAGGCAACGAUACGUAGCCGACCUGAGAGGGGGAUCGGCCACAUUGGAACUGAGACACGGUCCAGAGUCCUGAGGGAGGCCGCAGUAGGGAAUCUUAGGCAAUGGGGGAGAGCCUGACGGAGCAACGCCGAGUGAGUGAUGAAGGUCUUCGGGUCGUAAAACUCUGUUAUUAGGGAAGAACAACUGUGGACGUAACCGUGGAGGGCUUGACGGUACCUGAUAAGAAAGCAACGGCUAACUACGUG
Molecule: ribosomal RNA, 497 nt
Filed under: uncultured bacterium
Lineage: Bacteria
Description: partial 16S ribosomal RNA
Rfam family: Bacterial small subunit ribosomal RNA
Source: RNAcentral